ACCCAACUCCGAGGGCGUGGGCCUGAGCGCCAAGUGUGCAAACUCCCGCAGGCGAGAGCUGACUGCCGGGCGCAGGUGGGUUGCCUGGCUCCACGCUGCGACCCGCAGGGCGAGUGGCCGAGUUCCGCGGACGGAACCGGGAGGAUGUGAGACCUGUCUUUGAAGUCUGCUCGCGGUGAGCGUUCAAAAUCAGCAGUGUUUGCUCAGGUUGCACUGACCCUUUCCAGUGAGCGACCCCCUGCGCCGCUCGCUUCCUUGGCCAGUAGCUGAGUAAAGGAAAGCCUGGCAGUGUAAAACGGCCCCAGCCAAAACUUACUCCCCGCCACCCCGGGGGCCGUGAGAAACCCGCUGCACAUAAUAACCAGAACUGAAAACUUCCCCAAUGAACAGAGUGCAAAACAGCUGAAGAAGGAUCCUCAUUACUCAAAAGAUACGUUGACACACCUCUGGGCUUUGAGCCUGUGAGAAGGGCCCAGCUCUCUGCCACUUAAAGUAGCAACAUGGUUGAUGACAUUCUUCUUUGGCCCGCUCCCUGUGAGAGAACACAAACCACUCCAAGAUGAGCUGGAAUGCAGCCUUCAUCAUAGGACGAUGGUAAGUAGUCGAGAUAAAACACCCAGUAAAGCAAGUGGAAAGAGAAAAAGGCAGAACGAAUGUGUACCUUCUUAUGGAGCAGUGCUGUCCAUCCAUCAGCUGAAAAGGAAAGCUGGUACAUGGCUUAACGUUUUCAUUAAAAUGCAGUAGGCCAUCAGGAAGUCAGAUUUGCACCAACAACAAUGAGAUAUUUUUCUUACAGUUCCUUUUCCCUGAACAGCCUUGCUGUGGGCUUCAAAGUUCUCUCUCUGACCACAUUCAGCGAAGUCGCCUUUUUCUCUUCUCUUUGAUUGAACCCAGAGCUUUGGGAAGGGCAGUGAAGUAAGCCGAAAUGAAAUUGCCAAACUUAUGGUUCUCAAGUAAAUGAGAUUUUCUCCAAUGCUUACCAACUGUCACCAGGUCAGAUGGAUUUUUCCGCUUGAAGUCCCUUGAUGCAUUAAUUUCUCUGCGUCUUAUGGUAUCCUUCUGAAAGCAACCCCAACAGCCAUAAAAACAUAAAAAGAAAAUGCAUAGCAUAACCGGUGCACAAAAGGACAGUAAGAAAUAAAAAGUGAGGAGAGGGCA
Molecule: long non-coding RNA, 1158 nt
Filed under: Sus scrofa (pig)
Lineage: Eukaryota; Metazoa; Chordata; Mammalia; Artiodactyla; Suidae
Description: lncRNA (ENSSSCG00070009188.1)
Source: RNAcentral